This is a non-coding RNA of Haliaeetus leucocephalus (bald eagle), 1038 nucleotides long. NCBI's taxonomy places the organism in Eukaryota, Metazoa, Chordata, Aves, Accipitriformes, Accipitridae. The record is from the annotation of a RefSeq genome assembly.
UUGCACAUGUGGAUAAUUAGGAAAAAUAUCUGGCUUUUCAUCUCCUGUUUUUACAACCCUUUUGAAUACCAUGAGCAAAGAGUUACUUAUUGGAAUAAGUAUUAACAGUGUGAGCACUGAUAAGCUUGCAUUUGGAAGUGGGACCACUCUCACAGUCGAACCAAACAUUCAAAAAAGUUCUAACCCACAAGUCAUUGUGAUGAAAUCAAAGAAUCUGGAAGGAGAUGGCAGCUUUGGGAAAGCAGCUUGUUUGGCAAGGAAUGUCAAUACAAAGACCAUCAGCUUGGAGAUGCCCUCUAAUGCGGUUGUAUAUGAACAGAGCACACCCAUUUUGACAUCAGUGGGGUUAUAUGAUACUAUUAAGGUGGUCAAUGUGACAAAGGACACAGAGGUGACCUGCACGGCCCAAUUCAACGGCAUCACUACUACAGUCAACGCAUCUUUGCCAGAAAAGGAGCCUGAGGAACCAGUAACACGGAAGGUUUGCAACACCACAGACACCUCUGAACAAGAUACCAACGUGGAGAAAGCGAACAUGUUGUCUAUGGCUGUGUUGGGUUUGAGAGUCCUGCUGGCAAAAAGUAUCGCCUUCAAUACGCUCAUGAGUAUCAAGUUGUUUCUUUUCUGAGGCAGUGGGGAAGCAAGACAACAGCAAUCUGAAGAACAGCAGGAGAGAGCGUGUACCAGCAGCACAAUGGGUUGAACAGCCGAUGUCAUAUCUGCUGACAGUAACCAUCCAGAAUAUAACACAGCACCUUCCCCUUAAGACGUUUUAUAUUGUUGAAUCCUGCCUAGCUAGUUUAUUUGAAGAGUUGUAACUUCUUUUGCUAUUUCUUUUUCUCUGUGAAUGGAGGAGACUGUAUUUUUCCUCAUAAGAGGAAAAGUAGAGAUUAAUCUCCCCACUCUUCUAGCCUUUGCAUAGAAGCAUCCAACCUGCUUCAGCAGUCUUGAAAAAUCCAGUCCUCACUGUAGAUAUAUGACCUGUUUAGAACACCUUUUACAGGCAUGUUGCAUUACUGUCUGGAUUGAUGUACUACU